Cebus imitator (Panamanian white-faced capuchin) is the source of this 692-nucleotide RNA transcript. It is a transcript of the gene named multifunctional methyltransferase subunit TRM112-like protein, with no coding region annotated. The transcript has a single exon. Lineage: Eukaryota; Metazoa; Chordata; Mammalia; Primates; Cebidae. The record is from RefSeq and is a predicted model, not a curated record.
AAAAAAAAAAAAAAAAAAAAAAAAAAAAAAAAAAAAAAAUCUAGUCCGAUUAUCAUGUUAAAAAUAAUUUUAAAAAGCUUCCAGUUCUGGCCUGGCGAGAGCUCAUUCGGCGACACAAAACUGCUGACCCACAAUCUGCUGAGCUCCCAUGUGUAGGGGGUGGGCCCUGUGGCUUCCCUUUGCACCUCCAGGCCAGCAAGGUCUGCAUGUGCCCCGUGGAGUUCUACCCCCAAUUCGUGGCACUUAACGAUACCCAAGGUGGAGUGGGCGGCGUUCCUGGAGGCGACUUAUAACUUGCGCCUGAUUCAGGUGCCCAAAGGUCUGGUUGAGGGGUAUGAGGAGAAUGAAGAGUUUCUGAGGACCAUGCGCCACCUGCUGCUGGAGGUGGAAGGAAUGGAGGGCACCCUGCAGUGACCAGAGUCUGCACGUACGUUCCCUGUCAUCCGCGGGAUCCCCAACAUGCCGCUGAGUGAAGAGGAAACCAAGAAUUGAUUGUGCCAGGAGCCAGUUUUUCUUGUAAUGAUCGUGUGUAUUUUUGUUGAUGUAUACCAUUUCUGAAUUCUGCCAUGUGUAUCCCCAUCCCUUGACCCAAUGACACACCAAACACAGUGUUCUUGAGCUCAAUAGUAUACAUUUUUUUCUUUUUUUUUUUUUAUUUUUUGAGAUAGAGUUUCACUCUUGUUGCCCAGGCU